UAGAGAUAAGAGUUCCAGUAUCCUCCAGGGAGGAUGAGUUGGGGAGAAGAUCUGAUGUACAUCUGUUGUACGGCCUUUCUGGCAAAGCCUCUCUCUUCAGCCCGUGCCUCACCACAGCCUUUAGCAGUUCCGACGUCCCUAGGUAUUUAUGAUGAAGAAUUCUUUCUAACACAAGAAUUUAGCCUCCCUGUAAGAUGAGAGUCUUUAUUCAUCGAACUUUGAGAAAAUGGUUCAUUCCUCAUACAGAGCUAACAAAGGAGAGUUCAUACUUUGAAAACACAAAAAAAAGACAAGAAAAUAAAACAAGAUUUCCAAGAUCAAUGAUGACUGCAUGUUUAUGCAAAGUGUCUCCGUAAAGAAAUGAGACUAAUUUUCUUCUUGAAUAACUUGUGAAGACAGAAGAGCAAUCACAUUGCAGCAAGAAUCUAUGGCAGC
RNAcentral lists this long non-coding RNA (435 nucleotides) under Homo sapiens (human). RNAcentral describes it as "HSALNT0114909". The record is from RNAcentral. Lineage: Eukaryota; Metazoa; Chordata; Mammalia; Primates; Hominidae.